Molecule: ribosomal RNA, 253 nt
Filed under: uncultured bacterium
Lineage: Bacteria
Description: partial 16S ribosomal RNA
Rfam family: Bacterial small subunit ribosomal RNA
Source: RNAcentral
UACAGAGGUCGCAAGCGUUGUUCGGAUUCAUUGGGCGUAAAGGGUGCGUAGGUGGCUCUGUACGUCGGGUGUGAAAUUUCGGAGCUUAACUCCGAAACUGCAUUCGAUACUGCGGUGCUUGAGGACUGGAGAGGAGACUGGAAUUCAUGGUGUAGCAGUGAAAUGCGUAGAGAUCAUGAGGAAGACCAGUGGCGAAGGCGGGUCUCUGGACAGUUCCUGACACUGAGGCACGAAGGCCAGGGGAGCAAACGGG